UACGAAGGGGGCUAGCGUUGUUCGGAUUUACUGGGCGUAAAGCGCACGUAGGCGGGUCGUUAAGUCAGGGGUGAAAUCCCGGAGCUCAACUCCGGAACUGCCUUUGAUACUGGCGACCUAGAGUCCGGAAGAGGUGAGUGGAACUCCUAGUGUAGAGGUGGAAUUCGUAGAUAUUAGGAAGAACACCAGUGGCGAAGGCGGCUCACUGGUCCGGUACUGACGCUGAAGUGCGAAAGCGUGGGGAGCAAACAGG
Molecule: ribosomal RNA, 253 nt
Filed under: uncultured bacterium
Lineage: Bacteria
Description: partial 16S ribosomal RNA
Rfam family: Bacterial small subunit ribosomal RNA
Source: RNAcentral